This 101-nucleotide small RNA is filed under the name Flavobacterium frigoris. RNAcentral describes it as "Flavo-1 RNA". It matches the Rfam family "Flavo-1 RNA". Lineage: Bacteria; Pseudomonadati; Bacteroidota; Flavobacteriia; Flavobacteriales; Flavobacteriaceae. The record is from RNAcentral.
UUUUAGCCCCGAUAACAGUGAAAAUCCUUUUAUCCUGAUAAAUAAUUCGGGAGUCUAAUAUCGUUCCGGAUAAAAGAUUGUAUCGAAUAGCGGGAGGGAAG